UUUCCACCCUCAGACUUGGUCUGAGAGUGACUGCAGACAUUCUGGGAGGACCGCUGUAUCUCUUCUACAUUCACACUAUUGGAAUACAAAUUCAGUUUUUCUGGAAACUAUUGGAAUUUAAAAUGUGUUAUAUUUCUCUGGUUAAAUUGAUCUGGGUUUGUAUGAAAUUCUUUAAUUUUAUUAUUUUGAUGAAAUGUAUUCUCAUAACAUUAUUUACUAAAACUAGAAUAAUCGAUAAUAAUUUAUUGUUCAGUUUUUAAUAAAUGCAUGAUUAUAACAUUGUGUUGAGGUUUUUUAAUGAGUCAAAUGAUUGGACUAAUGUUAAAGCAAUCCACUGUUUGUUAGUGAUCCUUCAACAAUUAUAUGAAAAUAUUUGUUGAAUAAAUACAUUUGUUUAAUCCAUGUACAUUCAGACAAUAGAUAAAAAAUUAUAAUAAUUGUUUGAGCAAAUCAAAUAUUGAAUGAUUCAGAGAUUUUUGUCAAAAGCGAGUGAUUGUGUGACAGUAAGAUGAGCCUUUAAUAUGCGGGAGGUUUUUGUACAGCCUCUUAACGAGUUUGUAUCACUCUGGUACACUUUUGGUGGAGGCACCAAACUCAUCGUUGACUUGGGAGUGGUGCAGCCCACGCUGAGCGUCCUCCCUCCCUCCAGAGUGGAGCUGGAGCAGGGCAGUGCUACACUAGUGUGUGUGGCCAGUGGGGGCUUCCCCUCAGACUGGAAGCUUGGCUGGAAGGUGGGGGGCAGCAGCUGGUCUGGGGGGGUGUCAGAUAGCCUGGGGGUCCAGGGGAAAGAUGGCCACUACAGCUGGAGCAGCACCUUGACCCUCCCUGCAGACCAGUGGAGGAAGGCGGGCUCAGUGAGCUGUGAGGCCAGUAAGAAUGGCCAGACGCAGCCUGUCACUCAAACCCUGAAUCCUGGAGAGUGUUCAGAGUAGAGAGGCUCCAGCAUGGAGGUACUGGAGGAUACAGAUCUCCUCUGACACGUCUGCUUUAUCUCUCUCUGUCCAAGGUGGCACUGUAGCUUUUGUUGAAUUACAUUAAAACAACACGUGUUUGAUUCAUUAACGUUAUUCUCUCUGGUUUUUACCCCUUUCUUGGAUUUGUCACAUGUUGAACAUUUAAUAAAAACGCAAAAAAUACAAUAUUUCUUGUGAUAUAUUCCAAUCGUG
This is a non-coding RNA of Gadus morhua (Atlantic cod), 1166 nucleotides long. NCBI's taxonomy places the organism in Eukaryota, Metazoa, Chordata, Actinopteri, Gadiformes, Gadidae. The record is from the annotation of a RefSeq genome assembly.